This 1779-nucleotide unclassified non-coding RNA is filed under the name Leishmania donovani. RNAcentral describes it as "gene:LdHU3.26.0190(CDS-product:adenine_phosphorib osyltransferase)". Lineage: Eukaryota; Euglenozoa; Kinetoplastea; Trypanosomatida; Trypanosomatidae. The record is from RNAcentral.
CAGCAUCGACACACACGCGCAUACCCAGCCACGCUUGUGUACCUCUGUUGUACCCUCACCACCGACAGCGACAGGGUUUUGACAGCACUUGUUACUCUCGCUAUCGCGCCCGCGCCUUACGCUCUUGUCCGCUUAGUUGUGCCCUGCCACCAUGCCCUUCAAGGAAGUCAGUCCCAACUCUUUCCUGCUAGACGACUCCCACGCGCUCUCGCAGCUGCUGAAGAAGAGCUACCGCUGGUACUCCCCAGUGUUCUCCCCGCGCAAUGUCCCCCGCUUCGCCGAUGUCAGCAGCAUCACUGAGUCUCCAGAGACAUUGAAAGCUAUUCGUGACUUCCUUGUGCAACGGUACCGGGCCAUGUCGCCGGCCCCGACGCAUAUCCUCGGCUUCGAUGCUCGCGGCUUCCUCUUCGGCCCCAUGAUCGCCGUGGAGCUUGAGAUCCCGUUCGUGCUAAUGCGCAAGGCGGACAAGAAUGCUGGUCUCCUUAUCCGCAGCGAACCGUACGAAAAGGAGUACAAAGAGGCCGCGCCGGAGGUGAUGACGAUCCGCUACGGCAGCAUCGGCAAGGGAUCGCGAGUGGUGCUAAUCGAUGACGUCCUGGCAACGGGUGGGACCGCGCUGUCGGGCUUGCAACUGGUGGAGGCGAGCGACGCAGUGGUUGUUGAGAUGGUCUCGAUUUUGAGCAUUCCUUUCCUGAAGGCGGCAGAGAAGAUCCACUCGACAGCUAACAGCCGCUACAAAGAUAUUAAGUUUAUCAGCCUUCUUUCUGACGACGCGCUGACGGAGGAGAACUGUGGGGACUCAAAGAACUACACGGGUCCUCGUGUUUUGAGCUGCGGUGAUGUGCUGGCCGAGCACCCGCACUAACGCGUGAGCAACUCCUUCAGUCCUUCUCUGCUUCUUCUUUCCGCCAGCACCUCUGCAGUUGACGAUGCCGCCGGAUACGACAUCACCAUCUCCGGUAACGUAAAAUUUAAAAGACGCAGCCAAAGCACUAAGGCGGCGGUACUAACGGCCGUUCCCCGCCGUACAAUAGCCGCGCGAAAACACGACCUAUCGGCUCGGAUGUCUCUGAGUUGUGUGUGUGUGUGUGUCUCUGUCUGCUUAUCGCUGCGUAGUAGUGCGCUUGCUGCGUUGGUGACCUCCCCUCUCCCCCCGGCCGCGGCGUUUAGCCGUUUCUGGGUGCAGGCGAAGGCUGAGCUGUGGGGAGGAUAAAGACGGCACGCCACAGACGCGCACACACCCGCAGCAGAGAAGUAAAUGAUGUACAAACUCGCGAGGGCGGAAACAAAGCGGUAGCCGAUGGAUGGUGUGUGCGUGUGUGCGUCUCUAAGGGCAUCGUACCGUAUAACUGACUUUAUUCCUAUAGGCGCCUCCUUCCCCCUCCUCCUCCCCCCCUCGGAGGAGUCUUUCAUGAGAGCGCGCUAAAGGGCGCCCGUUACACGGGAGAGCGAAGCGCCCACUACACGACGUAGGCGCUACUCUUAAGCCAUCGGCUUCCAGUGCUCUCUUUUUUUUCUCGCUUGGUUACGUGAACAGAGGCGUUCAUGCUUGCGUGUAUGUGUGUCGUUGAUUUCGCUCUCCUUGGACGGCGUGAGUGCGCCGCCUAUGAACGUGCUGGUGGGCCACAACACGCUUCUACCCCGUAGUGAGUUGACAGCUGCGGCACAGACAGACGCCCGUUAUAAAGUGCGGCUAAAGGAAAAAAAAAAAAGAACGGUGCAAAGGCGGCAAAACUGUCACACGGAGGUCGUGCGAUCUCUUCGUUGGCGGGGGGAGGG